Molecule: unclassified non-coding RNA, 484 nt
Filed under: Hevea brasiliensis (rubber tree)
Lineage: Eukaryota; Viridiplantae; Streptophyta; Magnoliopsida; Malpighiales; Euphorbiaceae
Source: RNAcentral
GGGGAGCCAAUCUGAGAGAAGAACUCCAAAAGUGGCUUCAUGAAUUGAGAAACAUUGUCUUUAAAUACACACGAAGAGGGAGGAUAGGAAUUCGCAAAAACAGCUUGCGAAUGUGCAGUAGUAAUCUGAACUACAUCAGCUAAAUGAAGCUUCUUUAAGGCAUUGUAAACAUUUUUAGUCGCACCCAAAAGAGCUCCCCAGAGUUCAUAAUCAUUUCCUCCUAGAACUUCAUUCCCUACAGCAAUACCUUGAAUACUUGUUUUGGGGAGAAAUGCCUGCACAUUUUCUUUAACCCAAGCCAUGGCAUGGCUUGCAUUAGCACUCAUUUCUUUCACAUAGUCAUUUGGAAGCCCGACCACAAGCUCAAGUCCACUCCCACUAAAUGCUUUGAGAACACUAUGAUCAGCAUCAUAAAUCCGAACAUUCCUUAUCUUUGCUGCCCUAAGAAGUGUAACAACUUCAUCAGGUGAAGGGAUGUUAUCAG